UUGCGUCGCGUUGUAGCGCGUGCCACGGAUCUUCGAAGGCGAACAGAAAUGGCAACAUUUCCAACAUUGACCUCAGAUCAGGCAAGGCUACCCGCUGAAUUUAAGCAUAUCAAUAAGCGGAGGAAAAGAAACUAACAAGGAUUCCCCCAGUAACGGCWAGUGAAGCGGGAACAGCUC
This 177-nucleotide ribosomal RNA is filed under the name Terrazoanthus sp. 170816AH01-05. RNAcentral's name for it is "partial 28S ribosomal RNA". The stretch from base 68 to 177 matches the Rfam family "Eukaryotic large subunit ribosomal RNA", at positions 1 to 110 of the family's 3401-position model. The record is from RNAcentral. Lineage: Eukaryota; Metazoa; Cnidaria; Anthozoa; Zoantharia; Hydrozoanthidae.